This 305-nucleotide ribosomal RNA is filed under the name uncultured bacterium. RNAcentral's name for it is "bacterial SSU rRNA". It matches the Rfam family "Bacterial small subunit ribosomal RNA", at positions 338 to 660 of the family's 1533-position model. The record is from RNAcentral.
CCUACGGGACGCAGCAGUGGGGAAUAUUGCACAAUGGGGGAAACCCUGAUGCAGCGACGCCGCGUGAGUGAAGAAGUAUUUCGGUAUGUAAAGCUCUAUCAGCAGGGAAGAAAAUGACGGUACCUGACUAAGAAGCCCCGGCUAACUACGUGCCAGCAGCCGCGGUAAUACGUAGGGGGCAAGCGUUAUCCGGAUUUACUGGGUGUAAAGGGAGCGUAGACGGCGGAACAAGUCAGAAGUGAAAACCCGGGGCUCAACCCUGGGAGUGCUUUUGAAACUGUUUGGCUGGAGUGCAGGAGAGGUAA